AUGGAGAGAUAUAGGGAGCAAAAUAAUGACUUGCAUAUGGUGUUCAUUGACUUGGAGAAGGCCUAUGAUAAGAUCCCGCGGAAUGUCAUGUGGUGGGCCUUGGAGAAACACAAAGUCCCAGCAAAGUACAUUACCCUCAUCAAGGACAUGUACGAUAAUGUUGUGAUAAGUGUUCGAACAAGUGAUGUCGACACUGAUGACUUCCCGAUUAAGAUAGGACAGCAUCAGUGGUCAGCUUUGAGCCCUUAUCUUUUUGCAUUGGUGAUGGAUGAGGUCACAAGGGAUAUACAAGGAGAUAUCCCAUGGUGUAUGCUCUUUGCGGAUGAUGUGGUGCUAGUUGACGAUAGUCGGGCGGGGGUAAAUAGGAAGUUAGAGUUAUGGAGACAAACCUUGGAAUCGAAAGGGUUUAGGCUUAGUAGGACUAAAACCGAGUACAUGGUGUGCGAUUUCAGUACUACUAGGUGUGAGGAGGAGGAGGUUAGCCUUGAUGGCUAG
This 495-nucleotide ribosomal RNA is filed under the name Triticum aestivum (bread wheat). RNAcentral's name for it is "partial small subunit ribosomal RNA". Lineage: Eukaryota; Viridiplantae; Streptophyta; Magnoliopsida; Poales; Poaceae. The record is from RNAcentral.